UACGGGGGGGGCAAGCGUUGUCCGGAAUCAUUGGGCGUAAAGAGCGUGUAGGCGGCUUGUUAAGUCUUGCGUGAAAUCUCGGGGCUCAACCCCGAGCGGUCGUGAGAAACUGGCAGGCUAGAGUGCGGGAGAGGAGAGUGGAAUUCCUGGUGUAGCGGUGAAAUGCGCAGAUAUCAGGAAGAACACCCGUGGCGAAGGCGGCUCUCUGGAACGCAACUGACGCUGAGACGCGAAAGCGUGGGGAGCAAACAGG
RNAcentral lists this ribosomal RNA (253 nucleotides) under uncultured bacterium. Its description in RNAcentral is "partial 16S ribosomal RNA". It matches the Rfam family "Bacterial small subunit ribosomal RNA", at positions 524 to 776 of the family's 1533-position model. The record is from RNAcentral.